Long non-coding RNA from Dioscorea cayenensis subsp. rotundata (Guinea yam), 564 nucleotides. RefSeq lists it as uncharacterized. NCBI's taxonomy places the organism in Eukaryota, Viridiplantae, Streptophyta, Magnoliopsida, Dioscoreales, Dioscoreaceae. The record is from RefSeq and is a predicted model, not a curated record. The transcript is spliced from 3 exons.
CCCAGCUUCAGUUAUCAGUUAUUGGAGAUAUGAUAGAUGGUUUGCAAUUGAAUCUAUUGACCAAAAGAAUGGAAGUCCACCACCAAAGUGAUUUCCAAGUGAUCCAACCCACACACAACAUGCAAUCUUCUUAUGCCAAAGUUGUGAUAUAGAUGUGCAUAGAUAACCUGGCCUACUACUACAGGUGCUGAACACUCAGGCCUACAAAGUGGAUGAGUGGUGUCUGGCCAUGCAAAUAAAAUUCCUCACAAACUUUAUGGCAUUGGAUUUUUGUGUGGAUGCUCAUGAAAAGAAGGCAAAGGGCAACACCAGCAAGAUGUUUGUGCCUUUUGGUAAAGGCCUUUGUUGACCCACAAAGUAUGUUUUGGAAAAGCAGGAGAAAAAGAGUGAUGGGAGUGUGGCCCUUAUCUAGGGCACAUUGUUUAUUUCUAUAUAAACUCUUCUUCUUUUUUUUUUAUAAUAAUCUUUUAUAUUAUUAUUAUUAUUAUUAUUAUUAUAAUAUUUUUGUAUUUGAUUACUUUUAAAUAAAGAGGUUUUUGAGGUGUGGUGCUUGCAGCUGCAGCU